This is a non-coding RNA of Oryzias latipes (Japanese medaka), 808 nucleotides long. Lineage: Eukaryota; Metazoa; Chordata; Actinopteri; Beloniformes; Adrianichthyidae. The record is from RefSeq and is a predicted model, not a curated record.
CUUUGAGUAGUUUCAUAUUGUGACCGACCCAGCGCCAUCUUGUCACAUUUGCGACGUACAUCUGAUGAUCCAGAACAUGACGAGGACGAACAGGAAAAACAAUUAGGAAUAUAAUAUUCGGCGGACAAGAUAAAAGGAGUUUCAGGCCAAACGAGCUUACAUUGAUUGUGGAGCCAAAAGAGGAGAUACCAGAGCUUCAUCCAUCGUGGAUGUUUAUCCAGAGAACUGCAUCAUGUGCCUAGAGAAAUGCAUAGAGUCCUUGCUCCCCACUAUGAAUUCAUUGAGGAAGUCAGAAUGUGAUGGGAGGAUUGCUGCGCCAGGGUCAAUUUACAGAGUAUGAAAGAAGGCAAUAAAGCCACCAAUCAACAGGGAUAAAAUGGAAGCCAACUUUGCUCUGGUGAAGGCCCUUCCCAUUCUCUUUCCCCCAGUGGCACCUCCAUCAAAGAAACUGGGGUGUGCUAGUGAAGCUUUACUGCAUGUUCAGGAGUCAACAGAAGAUCCAAACGUCUUCAUCCAGAAGAGAGGCCUGUCAAGUCCAGUCUUGGUGUUCGAUGGCAGCAGAUGCAUCGUUGCUAUUGGUUUGAUGCCAGUGACGUUUGAAAAAGAAAAGCUUCACGAGGGUCUGAUUUUCUAAAUGGCAUAUUAUUACACACUACAUCUGACCUACACAAAUUGCGUGGCCACUUAUUUGUCAUUCAGACAGAGAUCCUUCAGGAUACAAUUCACAAGUGGGACAUCACCACCACAUGAAAGAGCAUUAAAGUAAAGAAUUUGUUGGAAGAUAAACUGUUUUUGCAGUUCAAUGUUU